Molecule: long non-coding RNA, 884 nt
Filed under: Homo sapiens (human)
Lineage: Eukaryota; Metazoa; Chordata; Mammalia; Primates; Hominidae
Description: HSALNT0372906
Source: RNAcentral
AAGUCACAGAGUGUGGAAGCUGCCCCAUUGUCUGGGGCUUUAUGAAGUCAUCAGUCAAAAGUAUAAAAAGAAGAGUGAUGCCAGAAGUUUGGAUGAGAUCUCUGAAUAUCCUAAGCCAAGUGCAGGCCAUAGGAGAAAGCAGUGAAAAAGAAACACUGUGACAAGCAAGGAAGAAACUUCAGACCAAGUUGACAGGCAGCCCUUCAGUUUACUGACUGCCGCUUCUUACCUGCCAACGCCAAGCACAAAGCUGCCUGCAGAGCCAGCCUCUAUCUGUGGUCCUUGUGCCAAUUAUCACUGCCCCACUCAUGCCGCAGGAUAUAAAGCAGAGUGACAGGGUCACAGGACUGCCAGAGGAAUACAGGCUGCAGUGCAGUGGUGCCAUCUGGGCUCACUGCAACCUCUGCCUCCCAGGUUCAAGUGAUCCUCAUGCCUCAGCCUCCUGAGUAACUGGGAUUACAGCUUCUAGAGGCUACCCACAUUCCUGGGCUAAUGGCCCCUUCCUACAUCUUCAAAGCCAGCAGUGGUGGGCUGAGUCUUUCUCCUGGUAUCAUCUCUUCAUUCUCUAUCUCCCUCUCCCAAUUUUAAGGACCUCUGUGAUUAUAUUGGGCACCUGGAUAUUGCAGGAUACGCUCUCUAUUUUAAGGCUAUGCUCCGUAAAGAGAGUGCCUCCUCUAGAAUCACAAGACCUAAGCAUGAAUCUUCCUUUGAAGGAUAAAAUGGAAGGAAAAAAACUGGAUGAGGAAAAGAAGAGUGGGGAAUAGAAAGAGAGAGAGAGAGAAAGAUGGAUAAAUUUUUAAAGUUACUAUAAUAAAAAUCUUCUACAACGAAACUAUAAUUGUUGAUCAGCAAAUGUGAACUAAUCCUCCUCCUCCUUACCUUCU